RNAcentral lists this long non-coding RNA (494 nucleotides) under Medicago truncatula (barrel medic). Its description in RNAcentral is "lncRNA gene37106". Lineage: Eukaryota; Viridiplantae; Streptophyta; Magnoliopsida; Fabales; Fabaceae. The record is from RNAcentral.
GCUCAAAAGAUAUUGUGUCAGUGAAAGUUCUUUGGAAAGGUCCGUCGGGUGAAGAAACCACUUGGGAACCCGAAGAAACUAUACGUGGCAAGUAUCCACACUUAUUUGAAAAUCAAGAUACGAUGCCGGAUGCUUCACAUGCUUCUCCCGGGAUGGUUGGAGAGCACGCUUAGUUGAUUCAUCGUAACAAUUCCCGAGCAGCUGAGUAGGAAGCUGCAAGUAGAUCCGAAGUCCAUCAUUUCUAUUUUUGGUAGGCCUCCUUGAUGGAUGGCUUUUUAUUUAUGUAAAUAUUCAGUCAAUGUAUCUGCAGCUAUAUGGAGUUAGAGUGCCUCAUUUUGAGUUGUAAAGUUAUGUAAAAAUUGUCUUUUUGAGCUUCUGGAUGAUGUGACAGGUUUAUGGACAGGAUUCAUAUCUUGGUAACGUUAAAAAUACAAGGGAUACUCUGUCCAAAUUUUUGUAAAUAUUAUUUUGAUGAAAAAAAUGGAUAUCUGUAA